Molecule: ribosomal RNA, 363 nt
Filed under: uncultured bacterium
Lineage: Bacteria
Description: bacterial SSU rRNA
Rfam family: Bacterial small subunit ribosomal RNA
Source: RNAcentral
AACGAACGCUGGCGGCAGGCUUAACACAUGCAAGUCGAACGGUUGUAGCAAUACAGCAGUGGCAGACGGGUGAGUAACACGUGGGAACCUUCCUAGGGGUACGGAACAACUCAGGGAGACUUGAGCUAAUACCGUAUACGUCCGUGAGGAGAAAGAUUUAUCGCCCUUAGACGGGCCCGCGUAGGAUUAGGUAGCUGGUGGGGUAAUGGCCUACCAAGCCUACGAUCCUUAGCUGAUCUGAGAGGAUGAUCAGCCACACUGGGACUGAGACACGGCCCAGACUCCUACGGGAGGCAGCAGUGGGGAAUCUUGGACAAUGGGCGAAAGCCUGACGCAGCGACGCCGCGUGAGGGAUGACGGCCU